Rattus norvegicus (Norway rat) is the source of this 73-nucleotide non-coding RNA. NCBI's taxonomy places the organism in Eukaryota, Metazoa, Chordata, Mammalia, Rodentia, Muridae. The record is from Rfam.
GGAGAGAUGGCUCAGUGGGUAAGAGCACUGGCUGCUCUUCUGGAGGACCUGGGUUCAAUUCCUAGCAUCUACA